UACGAAGGGGGCUAGCGUUGUUCGGAAUUACUGGGCGUAAAGCGUAUGCAGGCGGAUCGUUAAGUCGGGGGUGAAAUCCCGAGGCUCAACCUCGGAACUGCCUUUGAUACUGGCGAUCUCGAGUCCGGGAGAGGUGAGUGGAACUGCGAGUGUAGAGGUGAAAUUCGUAGAUAUUCGCAAGAACACCAGUGGCGAAGGCGGCUCACUGGCCCGGUACUGACGCUGAGGUGCGAAAGCGUGGGGAGCAAACAGG
This 253-nucleotide ribosomal RNA is filed under the name uncultured bacterium. Its description in RNAcentral is "partial 16S ribosomal RNA". It matches the Rfam family "Bacterial small subunit ribosomal RNA", at positions 524 to 776 of the family's 1533-position model. The record is from RNAcentral.